UGGGGAAUAUUGCACAAUGGGCGCAAGCCUGAUGCAGCCAUGCCGCGUGUGUGAAGAAGGCCUUCGUGUUGUAAAGCACUUUCAUCGGGGAGGAAGGUGUUACGGUUAUUAACCUUGGCGAUUGACGUUACCCGCAGAAGAAGCACCGGCUAACUCCGUGCCAGCAGCCGCGGUAAUACGGAGGGUGCAAGCGUUAAUCGGAAUUACUGGGCGUAAAUCGCACGCUGGCGGUCUGUAAAGUCGGAUGUGAAAUCCCCAGGCUCAACCUGGGAACUGCAAUCGAAACUGGCAGGCUAGAGUCCAGUAGAGGGGGGAAGAAUUCCAGGUGUAGCGGUGAAAUGCGUAGAGAUCUGGAGGAAUACCGGUGGCGAAAGCGGCCCCCUGGGCAAAAUCUGACACUCAGGUGCGAAAGCGUGGGGAGCAAACAGG
Molecule: ribosomal RNA, 429 nt
Filed under: Chloroflexota bacterium
Lineage: Bacteria; Bacillati; Chloroflexota
Description: Chloroflexi bacterium partial 16S ribosomal RNA
Rfam family: Bacterial small subunit ribosomal RNA
Source: RNAcentral